This 866-nucleotide ribosomal RNA is filed under the name uncultured bacterium. RNAcentral's name for it is "partial 16S ribosomal RNA". It matches the Rfam family "Bacterial small subunit ribosomal RNA", at positions 8 to 916 of the family's 1533-position model. The record is from RNAcentral.
AGAGUUUGAUUCUGGCUCAGGAUGAACGCUGGCGGUCUGCUUAACACAUGCAAGUCGAACGGAGUGCUUUCGGGCACUUAGUGGCGGACGGGUGAGUAACGCGUGAGAAUCUGCCUACAGGACGGGGACAACGACUGGAAACGGUCGCUAACACCCGAUGUGCCGGAAGGUGAAAUAUUUAUAGCCUGUAGAUGAGCUCGCGUCAGAUUAGCUAGUUGGUGGGGUAAUGGCCUACCAAGGCGACGAUCUGUAGCUGGUCUGAGAGGAUGAUCAGCCACACUGGAACUGAGACACGGUCCAGACUCCUACGGGAGGCAGCAGUGGGGAAUUUUCCGCAAUGGGCGCAAGCCUGACGGAGCAAGACCGCGUGGGGGAGGAAGGUUUGUGGAUUGUAAACCCCUUUUGAUUGGGAAGAUGAUGACGGUACCAAUCGAAUCAGCAUCGGCUAACUCCGUGCCAGCAGCCGCGGUAAUACGGAGGAUGCAAGCGUUAUCCGGAAUUAUUGGGCGUAAAGCGUCCGUAGGUGGCAUUACAAGUCAGUUGUUAAAGCGCGAGGCUUAACCUCGUAAAGGCGAUUGAAACUGUGAAGCUAGAGUUUGGUAGGGGUCAGGGGAAUUCCCAGUGUAGCGGUGAAAUGCGUAGAUAUUGGGAAGAACACCGGUGGCGAAAGCGCCUGACUGGGCCUGAACUGACACUGAGGGACGAAAGCUAGGGGAGCGAAAGGGAUUAGAUACCCCUGUAGUCCUAGCUGUAGACGAUGGGUACUAGGUGUUGACCGUAUCGACCCGGUCAGUGCCGUAGCUAACGCGUUAAGUAUCCCGCCUGGGGAGUACGCACGCAAGUGUGAAACUCAAAGGAAUUGACGG